AUAUAACUCACGCCGAAACACGAAGAAGUAGCAGUUUUCGAAGAAAACUCGCGGAUUCUGAGUGUUUCCAGGAUUGCGCGAAUUGCGCAGCAAUGGAGCAAUCCGUAUGUCAUAU
RNAcentral lists this unclassified non-coding RNA (115 nucleotides) under Eubacterium ruminantium. RNAcentral describes it as "Clostridiales-1 RNA". It matches the Rfam family "Clostridiales-1 RNA", at positions 59 to 166 of the family's 166-position model. The record is from RNAcentral. Lineage: Bacteria; Bacillati; Bacillota; Clostridia; Eubacteriales; Eubacteriaceae.